RNAcentral lists this ribosomal RNA (253 nucleotides) under uncultured bacterium. Its description in RNAcentral is "partial 16S ribosomal RNA". It matches the Rfam family "Bacterial small subunit ribosomal RNA", at positions 524 to 776 of the family's 1533-position model. The record is from RNAcentral.
UACGGGGGGGGCAAGCGUUGUUCGGAAUUACUGGGCGUAAAGGGCUCGUAGGCGGCCAACUAAGUCGGAUGUGAAAUCCCCAGGCUUAACUUGGGAACUGCAUCCGAUACUGGAUGGCUUGAAUCCGGGAGAGGGAUGCGGAAUUCCAGGUGUAGCGGUGAAAUGCGUAGAUAUCUGGAGGAACACCGGUGGCGAAGGCGGCAUCCUGGACCGGCAUUGACGCUGAUGAGCGAAAGCCAGGGGAGCAAACGGG